CCGGGAGGGACUGCGGAUGACAUUA
RNAcentral lists this ribosomal RNA (25 nucleotides) under Phaeoclavulina myceliosa. Its description in RNAcentral is "partial 18S ribosomal RNA". Lineage: Eukaryota; Fungi; Basidiomycota; Agaricomycetes; Gomphales; Gomphaceae. The record is from RNAcentral.